GAUAUACUCUCUCCGUCCAACAAAAGAUAUCUCAAGUUUGUCAAAAUUUGAAUGUAUUUAGACAUAAUUUACUGUAUAGAUGCAUUCAAAUCUAGUCAAAGUUGAGACAUCCUUUGUUGGACUGAGGAAAUAUAUU
Molecule: non-coding RNA, 136 nt
Organism: Brachypodium distachyon (stiff brome)
Lineage: Eukaryota; Viridiplantae; Streptophyta; Magnoliopsida; Poales; Poaceae
Source: Rfam